GCUUUAACAUUAAGUUUAGAAAUAGAAAAAGGUUUCUAAUAUUAUAAAAUUAAUAGAAAGAGUAGACUUUAUAAACUGCUUGCGGAUGAAAAACACUCCAACCUUGAAUAAGAAAAUAUAAGUGAAUAUAAAAAAGAAGAUGUGGUAUGAUUGCCAAUGAGACAACUAUCCACAAAAGACCAAAAUGACACAGACAUUAACAACUAUAGGUCACCGUACGGCCUUUAACAAUGAGCAAAGCCCAUACCGCAUAGUGAGCUAUAAAAGGCCCCGAUAAGACAAUGUAAAACAAUUCAAACGAGAAAACUAACGGCCUUAUUUAUGUAAAAAAAAUGAACGAAAAACAAAUAUGUAACACAUAAACAAACGACAACCACUGAAUUACAGGCUCCUGACUUGGAACAGGCACAUACAUAAAUGAUGUGGCGGGGUUAAACAUGUUAGCGGGAUCCCAACCCUCCCC
This 463-nucleotide long non-coding RNA is filed under the name Mytilus galloprovincialis (Mediterranean mussel). The record is from RNAcentral. Lineage: Eukaryota; Metazoa; Mollusca; Bivalvia; Mytilida; Mytilidae.